RNAcentral lists this long non-coding RNA (345 nucleotides) under Mytilus galloprovincialis (Mediterranean mussel). Lineage: Eukaryota; Metazoa; Mollusca; Bivalvia; Mytilida; Mytilidae. The record is from RNAcentral.
UCCCCAUUCUCAUUCUAAAAUUUACUGGUAUGAAUCAAUGAAUAAAGAAUAUUUGAUUGCAUUAGGUUCUGUUCAAGAAGUUUGAACAUUUAUUGAUAUUUCAUUUCCCGCGCAGAAACAAAAUUAAAUUUCCUGAUAUUUAAAUCGCCAUUUCCUUGCUUGAGCAAAUCAUCUUACAAAAACGAUUAAAAUAAAACACAGACAUUGUCCUUGAAAACUAGUUUUUCAUUAUGUAUUACUGUUCCGGACUUUUAUGAACAACGAUGAAUAUGUUUCAAUUUCACUACCUUUCAGUAUAGGUAUAAUUGACUUACGGUAAAUAAUCUAAUUUGUCAUCGUAAUUUU